AAUGAACGUUGGCGGCAUGGAUUAGGCAUGCAAGUCGAGCGAGAAGGGUUUUGAAGCUUGCUUUGAAACCCGGAAAGCGGCGCAAGGGAGAGUAACGAGUAGUUAUCUACCCCAAGGCCCGGAAUAGCUGCGGGAAACUGCAGGUAAUGCCGGAUAAUAUCCCCGGAUCACAGGUGGUAUUCCGCCUUGGUAGGGGACUGCCUUGUACUAGCUAGUUGGUAGGGUAAUGGCCUACCAAGGCUACGAUGCAUAGCGGGCGUGAGAGCGUGGCCCGUCUCACUGGGACUGAAACACUGCCCAGACACCUACGGGUGGCUGCAGUCGAGAAUCUACGGCAAUGGGCGAAAGCCUGACCGAGCGAUGCCGCGUGCGGGAUGAAGGCCCUCGGGUUGUAAACCGCUGUCGUAGAGGAGAAAGGUCUGAUGAAGAAUCAGAUUUGAUCUAUUCUAGGAGGAAGUCCGGGCUAAGUUCGUGC
This 475-nucleotide ribosomal RNA is filed under the name uncultured bacterium. RNAcentral describes it as "partial 16S ribosomal RNA". It matches the Rfam family "Bacterial small subunit ribosomal RNA", at positions 29 to 508 of the family's 1533-position model. The record is from RNAcentral.